CAAAAAGAAGAAAACCAAAAUAACACCAGAUGUCAGUUCCAUACAGUAGUUUCUUCAACAAACACAUUCACACUUCUUAUGGAGUGCUCGCUAAUGACAACUCAACUCAAGUUUGAAGCAACUCUUCUUACACCUGGCAUUUCACAAUCAACAGAAAUAUCAAGUUCCUUCUGGUUAUGUCACAACUUGACUUUGAUGCAACCUGCUGUUAAGUCGUGCAACUACAGUCUUUUUCAACUCACUGCUACUCACACCUGAGGCCAUUUCACCUGCUUCAGUAGCAAAAGUCAAUCUGGAAUAUAAUUUAUUGAUGAACUCAGCGACCAAGAGUUCAUUCAGCGAGACUACCAGGAAAUUUCAAGUCUGGUGUGACCUGUUUUGGUUGAGUUUCAAUUAUUUCAGUGCAAACACUUCCCAGAUACUAAACACCAAUCAGAAGUGACUUUCAAAGCAACGUAACAUUGCUUGAUGACGUCACUGUUUGGCGACGGCGAACAAUCACGAAUUUUAUAUUAAGAUACUGCAAUGUUCUGCAUUACUGUUAUUAUCGUGAAAGGAAGCACCUGCCUGUCUGAAAAUGCGUCCGAUAGAAACCUGAUCCUACAGCCAACAAAUAAUGCGGAGCAACAGACAAUAUUAAUCUAGUGUCUGAGUGAACCAAAGAUCUCCGAGAUGAGAGUGUCCCAGUGUCAUUUUGCCCACCAUAAAUCCUACAGACUGCCUUGGGUUUCAACAUCGGCUCCCACAUUGAGAACUCGGCAACUAACCAUGAGCUGUGGACUUUGUCGAAGGUCAGUUGAUGAAUACAGCCUGCCAUGAUGGAGUUAUACUUUAGGGGAACAAAUUCAAGGUUGUAAAUAUGACCUAAGUGUAUCUUUAAUCUUAAUCUGUAAAUGUAACGUAAUAUAUGUAUGAUCUUGAGCUAUCACGAUGACUGUGUACAAUAUAUGUCACAUCACAUAAUUUUGUUCACUGAAGUACGUGUCGUAUAUUAUUGUGACAGACAACACAUAAUCCAUUCCACAAUAAUAUUUUUUGGGAGAACCUAAAACUGGUUAAAUAUAGUUGACACCUGUCGCCAUUUGUCUACUAAGUAGCUUGUUAUUUUCUUGUCAAUUUUUCAAACAUAAGUAAUAAACAAAAAGCACCAAUCCUUAACUUUAUAAUUUGCAAUGCAUCUAUCAGAUACAAGCUUAAAAAGCAAUGGAGGUUGUUAUCACUGUGGUUGGGCGCUGCUUGUGGAUUUCAUCCAGAGGAGGUGAAACAAAUGAGAAACUGCAAUACAUAUUACAGAAGUCACAUGCAAGCAGGCAAAUUAAUAUGUACCGAUAUGCCCUUACUGCAGUGUUUAUAAGACAAGACAAAUGUUGUCUCUGAAAAUAUGAUGAAAAAUUGUAUCUUCACUGUAAAACAAAGACCAAGCUCACGGAAAUUAAAAAACUCUCUGUGUUGUGUC
Zootermopsis nevadensis is the source of this 1456-nucleotide long non-coding RNA. RefSeq lists it as uncharacterized. The record is from RefSeq and is a predicted model, not a curated record. NCBI's taxonomy places the organism in Eukaryota, Metazoa, Arthropoda, Insecta, Blattodea, Termopsidae.